Molecule: ribosomal RNA, 465 nt
Filed under: uncultured bacterium
Lineage: Bacteria
Description: partial 16S ribosomal RNA
Rfam family: Bacterial small subunit ribosomal RNA
Source: RNAcentral
GACGAACGCUGGCGGCGUGCUUAACACAUGCAAGUCGAACGAAAAGGCCCUGCUUGCAGGGUACUCGAGUGGCGAACGGGUGAGUAACACGUGGGUGAUCUGCCCUGCACUUCGGGAUAAGCCUGGGAAACUGGGUCUAAUACCGGAUAGGAGCCAUUUUUAGUGUGAUGGUUGGAAAGUUUUUUCGGUGUAGGAUGAGCUCGCGGCCUAUCAGCUUGUUGGUGGGGUAAUGGCCUACCAAGGCGGCGACGGGUAGCCGGCCUGAGAGGGUGGACGGCCACAUUGGGACUGAGAUACGGCACAGACUCCGACGGGAGGCAGCAGUGGGGAAUAUUGCACAAUGGGCGCAAGCCUGAUGCAGCGACGCCGCGUGGGGGAUGACGGCCUUCGGGUUGUAAACUCCUUUCGCUAGGGACGAAGCUUUUUGUGACGGUACCUAGAUAAGAAGCACCGGCUAACUACGUG